CCCCGCUCUCUACAGCCGAUCCAGGACCCACCAGGGCUAAUGCUGACAGACCAUGGGCAGAGCUCACCACCCCAGCAGACACUGGCCUGCCGUACCCACGGCACCCUCCAGUGCGAAGACCCUCCGGAGUCCAAGGACUCCAGAGAAGACAGGCCCCUGUCUCCUGACCUCAGCCGCUCCACUCUAAGCUACCCCCACCAGCCCUCUGGGUUAAAGGCUGGGUGUUUGCCUUUCGGUCAGGACCCAGCCGGUGGGUGCUGGGAGAACCCGGACCCCAGGCUGCAGCAGCUACUGGAGGAAAAGGAGCAGGCUGUGGCCGUGCUGCAGGAGAUGGUCAAGGUGCAGUGACCUGGGUGCCCCUCAAUGCCCAGACACCCCCCAGGAAGCAGGGGGGCUGCCUUCCCUUCUGGGAAGCCAGGACCCAGUGUGGGUAUGGCAGUAGGUGGGGCAGGCAAGGUCCCUGACCAGGGAGAACCCACAGUUAGUUUGACUAUUUAGAAAACAGCUUAACUGUGGAACAUUCCAAACAUACCCACAAGCAGAGAGAAGAGUAUGGUGGACCUCCAUUCCCCAUGACUCACCACCACCCAGCCUUGGCAGUUAUCAGACCCCAGGGCCCACGGGGACUAUAGACAGGUGCCACCACCCAGAGGUGCUGGAUCACAGGCCCCAGGGCUGGGGGCUGAGUCAGGGAGCAGAAAACACCCCCCAGCCCAGGGCCUAUGCCUGGUUCCGCAGGUGCACGGCUCUUCCUCUGCUCCUUCACUAAGGGUCUGCAGUGUUCCUGGGUUCAGGAAGUGCUCCGGUCCCUCGCUGACAUAGAGAGGGGGCACCCCCACCCCCACCCCUGUGGGAGCGCAGGCUGCGGGUUUGGACCUGAGACAGUGCAGGGAGGGUGGGGGUGUGCAGUCGGGUUUCAGGGCCAAAGAGCCAUCAAGAAUUGUGAGAACAGCACGGUUCCCUAGUGGAUACCCAAAUCUUGAUGAGCUGUUUUCUUGAGAAAGCCGGAAAGUGAUAUCAUCCUGUGGUUGGGAUUUGCUGAAGGCAGCAGAGAGGAAGUGAUAAGCAGCAUCGGAGCUGAGGUCACUGUCAUGCCCACGCUUGCGGCACCGGUCCAUGUGCCAGCAAAGUGCAUCGUAACCGCUUCACUUCACCAAACCCGGAGGGGAACACAGCUCCUCUGGCCCUUGAAGUGACGGCACAGCUGCCGCGAUGGUCGCCGAUGGGAGAUCCGCCCCGGGAGAAGACAGACUCCCGGGGGAGUGGGGGGCGUUCCUUGGUUUGCCUGUGGAACAGCAGCUGUGGGUCAUCCGGGCGGACGCGGACGGCGCUAGCUCCGCGAGCGGCCCCGGGUCUUCGCAGCUCGGACUGGGGAGUGGGCGUGGGGGCGCGGCCAGCCGCAUGGA
Neomonachus schauinslandi (Hawaiian monk seal) is the source of this 1406-nucleotide long non-coding RNA. RefSeq lists it as uncharacterized. The transcript has 3 exons. The record is from RefSeq and is a predicted model, not a curated record. NCBI's taxonomy places the organism in Eukaryota, Metazoa, Chordata, Mammalia, Carnivora, Phocidae.